RNAcentral lists this unclassified non-coding RNA (725 nucleotides) under Bombus terrestris (buff-tailed bumblebee). Its description in RNAcentral is "misc RNA ENSBTSG00005030769.1". Lineage: Eukaryota; Metazoa; Arthropoda; Insecta; Hymenoptera; Apidae. The record is from RNAcentral.
CGCAAUCGUGUCGUCUAGUUUCAUCAACAGCGUGACAAACGCAGGAUUUUUCUGUUUACAUUCGGCCGAUACCUUAGGCCUUUUGGCCCCGAUACUACAUUUAUUGCAAGAUAUCUUUUAGCCGAGAUCGUGAAGGUAUUUCAACGAUCAAUUGUCCAUUGUGUUGGUAAAUCUCGAUACUCGCUUCUAUAUACGUCAGUCGUAUCUGAUUACGUCGCUAAUGAAAUUUCAAAAUGUUUAAUAUCGCACGGACGAUAUAACAUAUUGGCGAAGGAUUUCUAUAAACGUUCAAAUACUUUCGCGAGCCAUUGUACGUCACUGGAGGAAGAAUAAUGCCAUCCGGAUACGGCGCUAAAUGGAGAUGUACGCGAAAAAGUAGGAAAUCACGAGGCGAGAAAAGCGAAGGACUUGUUAUAGGCGGAACACUCAAAUAUAGUGUAUCGCGGUUCUAAAUCGAUCCGCUCAUUAUUUGUUCAUCUGGAUCGUUCAGGAAUAAAUCUUCUUUCAAGUUCAUUCAUGUUAAGCUUACAUCUAUAUCCUACUAUAUAUAAUCGUUGCGGGCUGAGAAAAAUGUAAAUUCGAUCGAACAGAGAACGUCGGAUCUUCUUUUCACGCGACUUUAUUUAAAGAAGCUGCAAUCGCGGCUGCAACGUAAAAAGUAUCGAAAGAGAAACGAGUCGAGUGCUUGAGUCAUCGGAGUUACACUCUCAAAAAAAAAAAAAAAA